GUUAAGAUAGCAAAAAUUGGUUACUGCAUAAAACUUAAGCUUUUACUUACGGAGGUUCAACUCCUCUNCUUAACA
RNAcentral lists this transfer RNA (75 nucleotides) under Mammuthus primigenius (woolly mammoth). Its description in RNAcentral is "tRNA-Leu". It matches the Rfam family "tRNA". Rfam says of the family: Transfer RNA (tRNA) molecules are approximately 80 nucleotides in length. The record is from RNAcentral. Lineage: Eukaryota; Metazoa; Chordata; Mammalia; Proboscidea; Elephantidae.